GGGAGUACGCACGCAAGUUGAACUCAAAGGAAUUGACGGGGCCCGCACAAGCGGUGGAGUAUGUGGUUAAUUCGAUGCAACGCGAAGAACCUUACCAGGGUUUGACAUCCUGCGAAUCUCUUGGAAACGGGAGAGUGCCUUCGGGAGCGCAGUGACAGGUGGUGCAUGGCUGUCGUCAGCUCGUGUCGUGAGAUGUUGGGUUAAGUCCCGCAACGAGCGCAACCCACGUCGUUAGUUGCCAGCAUUCAGUUGGGCACUCUAGCGAGACCGCCGGUGAUAAACCGGAGGAAGGUGUGGAUGACGUCAAGUCAUCAUGCCCCUUACAUCCUGGGCUACACACGUACUACAAUGCUACGGACAAAGGGCAGCAAACUCGCGAGAGCUAGCAAAUCCCAUAAACCGUGGCUCAGUUCAGAUCGUAGGCUGCAACUCGCCUACGUGAAGGAGGAAUCGCUAGUAAUCGCAGGUCAGCAUACUGCGGUGAAUACGUUCCCGGGCCUUGUACACACCGCCCGUCACACCAUGGAAGUUGGCCACGCCCGAAGCCGUUACUCCAACCCUUGUGGAGGAGGACGUCGAAGGUGGGGCUGAUGACUGGGGUGAGGUCGUAACAAGGUAACCGUA
This 624-nucleotide ribosomal RNA is filed under the name uncultured bacterium. RNAcentral's name for it is "bacterial SSU rRNA". It matches the Rfam family "Bacterial small subunit ribosomal RNA", at positions 876 to 1504 of the family's 1533-position model. The record is from RNAcentral.